GGAAUAUUGGACAAUGGGCGAAAGCCUGAUCCAGCAAUGCCGCGUGUGUGAAGAAGGUCUUCGGAUUGUAAAGCACUUUCGACGGGGACGAUGAUGACGGUACCCGUAGAAGAAGCCCCCGGCUAACUUCGUGCCAG
RNAcentral lists this ribosomal RNA (137 nucleotides) under uncultured bacterium. RNAcentral's name for it is "partial 16S ribosomal RNA". It matches the Rfam family "Bacterial small subunit ribosomal RNA", at positions 358 to 511 of the family's 1533-position model. The record is from RNAcentral.